CCUGUGGAGCGUCACAGCAAACGCGAGUAGCCUUAGCAAAAGCGGACGCGCUGAAGCAGGAA
This 62-nucleotide non-coding RNA is filed under the name unclassified sequences. The record is from Rfam.